UGGGUCGGCAAGACGGUCGCGUCAUCCGGUGGCUGCUUCUUCGGAAGCACCGGCGGAUGCCGAGGAACGUCCGGGCUCCACAGGGCAGGACGGUGGGUAACACCCACCCGGGGCAACCCGCGAGACAGUGCCACAGAAAGCAGACCGCCGCAGGCUCGCCUGCGGUAAGGGUGAAACGGUGGGGUAAGAGCCCACCAGCGGUCACGGUGACGUGGCCGGCUCGGUAAACCUCGUCCGGAGCAAGGUCAGACAGGGAACCAUGGGGCUGCCCGCCCCGUUCCCGGGUAGACCGCUGGAGGGCUGCGGCAACGUAGUCCCGAGAGAGAUGGCCGUCCAGCGCUGCAUCCUCGGAUGCCGCGUGAACAGAACCCGGCGUAUCAGCCGGCCCAUUCG
Molecule: RNase P RNA, 393 nt
Filed under: Agromyces albus
Lineage: Bacteria; Bacillati; Actinomycetota; Actinomycetes; Micrococcales; Microbacteriaceae
Description: RNase P class A
Rfam family: Bacterial RNase P class A
About the family: Ribonuclease P (RNase P) is a ubiquitous endoribonuclease, found in archaea, bacteria and eukarya as well as chloroplasts and mitochondria. Its best characterised activity is the generation of mature 5'-ends of tRNAs by cleaving the 5'-leader elements of precursor-tRNAs.
Source: RNAcentral